UUGAUGCAUAAAUUCGAUCAAUAUUCUGAUCUCUACUGUUUGGAAAUUUACAAUAUUAAAUUACAGAGAAGGAAGGAAGGGUGAAAGAAAUGGCAAAAACAACAAUGCAUCGGGCAAUAGCAAACAUUCAUGGAAGAAAUGGCGGAAAUGAUAAUGCAUCGGGCAACAUUCAUGGCGAUGAUGGUCCAUCUUCAGUCAACAGGAAAGAAUAUAGAGAAAAAAAAAUCCAACAAAAAAAAAAUAAUAAAAAAAAUCGGCAAGGAAUAUUAUUUUCAUAUGUCGUUGAUGAAAUGAUAUACCUUGUCUAUUAUGAAUAAAGUAAAUUACAUAUUAUGAUCAAUAUAAAAGUUUUCAAAGUAUUUUGUUUUUUCUAAAAACUCAAGCUACUAUAAUGAAUUUCUCAUACCAUUUUUUUUUUACUCUUUUCAUAAAAAAAAAACUCAAACCACUAUAAUAACAUAUUUUAUAAUUUUUAAAAUAAUUAAAUAAAGAGAGAAAAAAUAAAAUUAUGUGUAGAUGGGUAGAGGAUGACAGGCAUUGUUGGUAGGAAGAGCUCAAGACUUGAUAGUAAUGAUCCAACUGCGCCAAAAAAAAGAGAGCUCACCAUUUGUUGUGGCGCUUCAACCGGAAAUGCUCCUCCCUAACAUUGCCCUUCGCAAAAUAUCGGCUGAUACACCAAAAGAAACCCAUCAAAAUCAAAACUUUCUGAAUCAAAUCAUCAAAUUGAAUCAUCCCGACUUCCAAACACCAUAAAACUUAAAAACUUUUCGAAUCAAAUCACCUCAAUUUCAAAUCUUACUCGCAGUGGACGCAAUUGAACUGCCCCAUCCCUGGAAGGUCCUCAUCCUGCGGCAGCAGCUUUGGCUCCUCCCCCUCCGCCAACUUCAGUAUCUCGCUAUACAUUGCAUCAUUGACAGAUCGAUCACCCCAAAUCAAUUUGAGUUAAAGAAGAAACAAAAAUAGGAGAUAUAGAUGGAUCAAUCAAUCGAAAUAAAAAAGGAGAUUAGAGCCAAAAAAAAGAAGAUAUCUUUGUGGAGGAAUUUGAUCAUCAAGCGCUCUCGUGGGAAAAUCUCCGCUUCUUCACCAAAAUUGCUGCGGACAUAGGUGAGAUGAGGGGAGAGGGAGAGAUGCCUGUUGUCUGUUUGGGAGAUAGAGGGAAGUUAAAGAGAUGGGAGAAAGAAAGAAAGCGGAGAGAAAGAAAGCUGAAGGAAUUAGAGGUGAGAGAAGAAGAAAGGAAUAGAGCGAAAGAUAUAGUAAAAAAAUAGAGAGAGAUGAAAUUUUUA
Molecule: long non-coding RNA, 1283 nt
Filed under: Ananas comosus (pineapple)
Lineage: Eukaryota; Viridiplantae; Streptophyta; Magnoliopsida; Poales; Bromeliaceae
Description: long non-coding RNA (ACOM_LNC009093)
Source: RNAcentral